RNAcentral lists this long non-coding RNA (506 nucleotides) under Mytilus galloprovincialis (Mediterranean mussel). Lineage: Eukaryota; Metazoa; Mollusca; Bivalvia; Mytilida; Mytilidae. The record is from RNAcentral.
GAUAAUAUCUACUUAUUUCUGUGAACUGAGAAAGAAUGUCUGGUAGUAAUGAGUAAGCAUGUCCUGGUAAUUUGUUGGUGAUGAAAAAGAAUGUUCUGGUAAUUUGCUGGUGAUGAGAAAGAAUUUCCUGGUAAUUUGUUGGUAAUGAGAAAGAAUGUCCUUGUAAUUUGUUCGUGAUGAAAAAGAAUGUCCUGGUAAUUUGUUGAUGAUGAGAAAGAAUGUCCUGGUAAUUUGCUGUUGAUGAGAAAGAAUGUCCUGUUGAUUUGCUAGUGAUGAGUAAUAAUGUUCGGGUAAUUUGCUGGUGAUGAGAAAGAAUGUCUUUGUAAUUUGAUGGUGAUGAGAAAGUAUGUCCUGGUAAUUUGUUGGUGAUGAGAAAGAAUGUCCUGGUAAUUUGUUGGUGAUGAGAAAUAAUGUCCUGGUAAUUUGUUGGUGAUGAGAAAAGAUGUCCUGGUAAUUUGUUGGUUAUGAGAAAGAAUGUCCUGGUAAUUUGUUGGUGAUGAGAAAGA